This 194-nucleotide non-coding RNA is filed under the name Ureibacillus aquaedulcis. RNAcentral describes it as "6S RNA". It matches the Rfam family "6S / SsrS RNA". Rfam says of the family: E. coli 6S RNA was the first non coding RNA to be sequenced, but its function was unknown until recently. It consists of 184 nucleotides that fold into an extended hairpin structure with a large single-stranded internal bulge. The record is from RNAcentral. Lineage: Bacteria; Bacillati; Bacillota; Bacilli; Caryophanales; Caryophanaceae.
CGAAUCCUAAGGUGUUUGUGAAGCUUAUUUCACUGUUUUGACCGAACAACAAAUCGUUGGGAAUUCAUAUUUUGCUUUGGCGAACAAGCCCUGCAAACGGAUGAGGGAAGUUUAAAGAAGUAAAGAGGGUACCCACCUGUGAAUAAGCGGGUUCAAAACGAUGCUUUCCAUGCUUACGGCAUUUUGGGAUUCGU